UACGGAGGGUGCGAGCGUUAAUCGGAAUUACUGGGCGUAAAGCGCGCGUAGGUGGCUUGAUAAGCCGGUUGUGAAAGCCCCGGGCCCAACCUGGGAACGGCAUCCGGAACUGCCAAGCUAGAGUGCAGGAGAGGAAGGUAGAAUUCCCGGUGUAGCGGUGAAAUGCGUAGAGAUCGGGAGGAAUACCAGUGGCGAAGGCGGCCUUCUGGACUGACACUGACACUGAGGUGCGAAAGCGUGGGUAGCAAAUAGG
Molecule: ribosomal RNA, 253 nt
Filed under: uncultured bacterium
Lineage: Bacteria
Description: partial 16S ribosomal RNA
Rfam family: Bacterial small subunit ribosomal RNA
Source: RNAcentral